UACGUAGGGAGCAAGCGUUGUCCGGAAUCAUUGGGCGUAAAGCGCGCGUAGGUGGCCAUGUAAGUCCACUGUGAAAGUCAAAGGCUCAACCUUUGAAAGCCGGUGGAUACUGCAUGGCUAGAGUACGGAAGAGGCGAGUGGAAUUCCUGGUGUAGCGGUGGAAUGCGCAGAUAUCAGGAGGAACACCAAUAGCGAAGGCAGCUCGCUGGGACGUUACUGACACUGAGGCGCGAAAGCGUGGGGAGCGAACAGG
RNAcentral lists this ribosomal RNA (253 nucleotides) under uncultured bacterium. RNAcentral's name for it is "partial 16S ribosomal RNA". It matches the Rfam family "Bacterial small subunit ribosomal RNA", at positions 524 to 776 of the family's 1533-position model. The record is from RNAcentral.